Molecule: long non-coding RNA, 1455 nt
Organism: Eurytemora carolleeae
Lineage: Eukaryota; Metazoa; Arthropoda; Copepoda; Calanoida; Temoridae
Exons: 2
Source: RefSeq, a predicted model, not a curated record
UAUUUAUCUAUGGAAAAAAUGUAUUUACAGUAUAAAAAUAGAACAGAUAAGGUUUGAUACUAUUGAUUUGAAUAAAGCACAAGCUCUUUGGCAGACUCUCCGCCUUUAUUCCACCUCACAUGACAUGAACCUUCCUCUUUUUGGUUCUUCGUAACGACUGGCAAAUCCUAUUUCCUGCUCCUUCGUGGAUCAAGCCUAUUGGCUUGAAUUCAAAUAGAACUCCAGGAUCAACUGUAGCUUGGUUUUCAACGAGUUGAAAAACGUGUUAAAAGCAUGUUUUCUAGGUUGGCUAAUAAGCUGCCAUGCUUAUAGGCCAGACAACUUGCAAUCUGAGCUUAGCUCCAGUUUCGUAUGAGGACUGAAGGGGUUACAUCAAUAGAACUAUCCAAAAUGAGCUUAGCUUCAAGUCCGUAUUAGAACUGAAAGGGUUACAUCAAUGAACCUAUCCUUAUUCCAAGCUAUUGAGCUCAUACUGGUUACAGUAGUCUCUCAUGUUUCAUCCUUCGUUAGUUAUGUACACUGUACAUUGUACAGGUGGGGGAUGAGAAUGUACAGGUUUAUUGUCCAUGUGGGAGAUGAGUAUGUACUGCUUGGUUCAACUAGUAAUGGAACAAUAUUGUACAGGUGGGGAAUGAGUAUGUACUGCUUGGUACAACUAGCAUUGGAACUAUAUUGUACAGGUGUAUUGUACAGGUGGGGGGAUGAGUAUGUACUUCUUGGUACAACUAGCCAUGAGACUAUAUUGUACAGUUGGGAUAUGAGUAUGUACUGCUCGGUACAACUAGCCGUGGAAUUAUAUUGUACUUGUGUAUUGUACAGGUGGGGGAUGAGUAUGUACUUCUUGGUACAACUAGCGAUGAAACUAUAUUGUACUUGUGUAUUGUACAGGUGGGGAAUGAGUAUGUACUGCUUGGUACAACUAGCCGUGGAACUAUAUUGUACAGGUGUAUUGUACAGGUGGGGGAUGAGUAUGUACUUCUUAGUACAACUAGCCAUGAAACUAUAUUGUACAAGUGGGGGAUGAGUAUGUACUGCUCGGUACAACUAGCCGUGGAAUUAUAUUGUACUUGUGUAUUGUACAGGUACAGGUGGGGGAUGAGUAUGUACUUCUUGGUACAACUAGCCAUGAAACUAUAUUGUACUUGUGUAUUGUACAGGUGGGGGAUGAGUAAGUACUUCUUGGUAUAACUAGCCAUGGAACUAUAUUGUACUUGUGUAUUGUACAGGUGGGGGAUGAGUAUGUACUGCUCGGUACAACUAGCCGUGGAACUGGCAAGAUUGCAAACUGUGGAGGGGUGGAUAACCCAACUCAUUACGUCAGGAUUAAGGAUAUGGUUCCUUGGUUAUUAAACUAUAUUGACGAAGAAGAUCUUUGCUUUAAAGAUUAAAUCCAAAAAUCUGUUAAUGUUAGAUGAGAAAUAUAUUUAUGAAUAAAGUUUUAACUGGUUUACAAAA